RNAcentral lists this long non-coding RNA (264 nucleotides) under Homo sapiens (human). Its description in RNAcentral is "non-protein coding lnc-LRRC4C-4:1". Lineage: Eukaryota; Metazoa; Chordata; Mammalia; Primates; Hominidae. The record is from RNAcentral.
CAGAGAGAUAAAUGUAUGAAUUUAACUUCUAUAUUUACCAACUAUAGGAUGCUGGACAAGCAAUUUUGUGUUGUUGCUGAUGAUUGGCUUGCUGUAGAAUAAGAAUAAAUACAUUCACCUCAUUGAGUUGCUGUGAGUGCUAGAGGAGAAAACAUGUUCAAACAUCUGAUAUUGGGUGUGUCACAGAGUUUUUAGUUGCCAGCAAUAGUGAAUAAAACUUUUUACUUGCCUUGGCCAUGGCUGGCCUAUAAGCUAAGGGACAAG